RNAcentral lists this ribosomal RNA (688 nucleotides) under uncultured bacterium. Its description in RNAcentral is "bacterial SSU rRNA". It matches the Rfam family "Bacterial small subunit ribosomal RNA", at positions 38 to 715 of the family's 1533-position model. The record is from RNAcentral.
AGCUACAGGCUUAACACAUGCAAGUCGAGGGGCAGCAUGAACUUAGCUUGCUAAGUUUGAUGGCGACCGGCGCACGGGUGAGUAACGCGUAUCCAACCUUCCGUACACUCAGGAAUAGCCUUUCGAAAGAAAGAUUAAUACCUGAUGGUAUGAUGAGAUUGCAUGAAAUCAUCAUUAAAGAUUCAUCGGUGUACGAUGGGGAUGCGUUCCAUUAGAUAGUAGGCGGGGUAACGGCCCACCUAGUCAACGAUGGAUAGGGGUUCUGAGAGGAAGGUCCCCCACAUUGGAACUGAGACACGGUCCAAACUCCUACGGGAGGCAGCAGUGAGGAAUAUUGGUCAAUGGGCGCGAGCCUGAACCAGCCAAGUAGCGUGAAGGAUGAAGGUCCUACGGAUUGUAAACUUCUUUUAUAAGGGAAUAAAGUCACCUACGUGUAGGUGUUUGUAUGUACCUUAUGAAUAAGCAUCGGCUAACUCCGUGCCAGCAGCCGCGGUAAUACGGAGGAUGCGAGCGUUAUCCGGAUUUAUUGGGUUUAAAGGGAGCGUAGACGGGUCGUUAAGUCAGCUGUGAAAGUUUGAGGCUCAACCUUAAAAUUGCAGUUGAUACUGGCGUCCUUGAGUACGGUUGAGGCAGGCGGAAUUCGUGGUGUAGCGGUGAAAUGCAUAGAUAUCACGAAGAACUCCGAUUG